This 401-nucleotide ribosomal RNA is filed under the name uncultured Pseudomonas sp. RNAcentral describes it as "bacterial SSU rRNA". It matches the Rfam family "Bacterial small subunit ribosomal RNA", at positions 975 to 1375 of the family's 1533-position model. Lineage: Bacteria; Pseudomonadati; Pseudomonadota; Gammaproteobacteria; Pseudomonadales; Pseudomonadaceae. The record is from RNAcentral.
CAGGCCUUGACAUCCAAUGAACUUUCCAGAGAUGGAUUGGUGCCUUCGGGAACAUUGAGACAGGUGCUGCAUGGCUGUCGUCAGCUCGUGUCGUGAGAUGUUGGGUUAAGUCCCGUAACGAGCGCAACCCUUGUCCUUAGUUACCAGCACGUAAUGGUGGGCACUCUAAGGAGACUGCCGGUGACAAACCGGAGGAAGGUGGGGAUGACGUCAAGUCAUCAUGCCCCUUACGGCCUGGGCUACACACGUGCUACAAUGGUCGGUACAGAGGGUUGCCAAGCCGCGAGGUGGAGCUAAUCUCACAAAACCGAUCGUAGUCCGGAUCGCAGUCUGCAACUCGACUGCGUGAAGUCGGAAUCGCUAGUAAUCGCGAAUCAGAAUGUCGCGGUGAAUACGUUCCC